UACAGAGGGUGCGAGCGUUUGUCCGGAAUCACUGGGCGUAAAGGGCGCGUAGGCGGCUUGAUAAGCGUGCGGUGAAAGCCCGGGGCUCAACCCCGGGUCGGCCGUGCGAACUGUCGAGCUGGAGCACUGUAGAGGCAGGUGGAAUUCCGGGUGUAGCGGUGGAAUGCGUAGAGAUCCGGAAGAACACCGGUGGCGAAGGCGGCCUGCUGGGCAGUGGCUGACGCUGAGGCGCGACAGCGUGGGGAGCAAACAGG
RNAcentral lists this ribosomal RNA (254 nucleotides) under uncultured bacterium. RNAcentral describes it as "partial 16S ribosomal RNA". It matches the Rfam family "Bacterial small subunit ribosomal RNA", at positions 524 to 776 of the family's 1533-position model. The record is from RNAcentral.